AUGAACGCUGGCGGCGUGCUUAACACAUGCAAGUCGAACGGUGAAGCUCCAGCUUGCUGGAGUGGAUCAGUGGCGAACGGGCGAGUAACACGUGAGCAACCUGCCCCUGACUCUGGAAUAAGCGCUGGAAACGGCGUCUAAUACUGGAUACGAGAAGGGUCCGCAUGGGCACUUUCUGGAAAGUUUUUCGGUUGGGGAUGGGCUCGCGGCCUAUCAGCUUGUUGGUGAGGUAAUGGCUCACCAAGGCGACGACGGGUAGCCGGCCUGAGAGGGCGACCGGCCACACUGGGACUGAGACACGGCCCAGACUCCUACGGGAGGCAGCAGUGGGGAAUAUUGCACAAUGGGCGAAAGCCUGAUGCAGCGACGCCGCGUGAGGGAUGACGGCCUUCGGGUUGUAAACCUCUUUCAGCAGGGAAGAAGCGAAAGUGACGGUACCUGCAGAAGAAGCACCGGCUAACUACGUG
Molecule: ribosomal RNA, 467 nt
Filed under: uncultured bacterium
Lineage: Bacteria
Description: partial 16S ribosomal RNA
Rfam family: Bacterial small subunit ribosomal RNA
Source: RNAcentral